UCUAAUCUUAAAUCUUUCAGAGGUUAGAUUGCAACGAAAAGCGUUUGUACUUACGUAUCUUUGUUUUUUCGUAUAUUUAUAUCACAAAGCAUAUUUUUCGAUUCAUCGCAAACAAAAUUGAACGUACGUAAGAACUCAAUACUGCGGUUCCAGAAAAUUGUGUAACUACGCGUGUGUACGGUUGGGAUAAAACGAAUACCGGAAGGAUGUUGCGUAAACGGAAGUGCGUGCGAGGCUUUUUGUUUCUUCCAGCCUUAUUGAGGGAUGCACCUGACAACAAGUUGCCGAUACAAUGGCCCGGCUGGAAGUAGAGUGAAUGGAUAAAGGAUACGAAAAAUUACAAGUCUCCAAGAUCCGGACUUGCGUCAUAUCGUAUCCUGACCGCGGAUAAACGUCGUAAGAACAAUGACCGCCUCGGACAGUGAAAAGAAAACAGCAAACCGCUAAUCGACCAAAAAAGGUAGCAACAAAAGAAGCCUGAUUGGAUCCCUCCAUCUUCUGUUCCCGAUGAAAACCUGCAGGAUACGAAAUCGCAGGAAAAAAUCAAAAAAGAAAGACGCACAGAAGGAGGCUCAUUCAUUUCGUAAUCGCGAAAUCGACAGAAGCGGCAAUCCAAAAGAAAUCUCGAUCCAAAGAUGUUCACACAAUCGCAUAACCAUCGAACCACGUGGAACCCCCGCCCGAGUGGCAAGCGUGCACGUCACGAGGCACGCAAUCCCCAUGGGUCGUCCAUACGCACGAAAAUUAUAACAGACCCCCAAGAUACACUUUCUCUUCUUCUCUCCAUUCCAGCUUCCUCUCUUCUCCGCCAUCUCUCUCUCUCUCUCUCUCUCUCUCUCUCUCUCUCUCUCUCUCUCUCUCUCUCUCUCUCUCUCUGUCGCUGGGGAUACCGGUAAAGAACGCAAGAACGGGAGAAGAAAAAGAUAAGAGGAGGAGUGUUUAAAGGAGGAUUGCUUCCGCAAAAAUCGAGAAUCUUGAGGUGGCAUUCGCUCGGAACUCGUUACACGUUCCGUAUGGCGGGUCCGGUGUGUCGCAGCGUCGGGCUCGAAACUACAGGGUACGGAAACGAAGAGAAGAAAGAACACGUGAUUACACGGGGAGGGGGACCGAUCAUGCAGCGCCAACGUUUCUUCUUCUCCACCGAUCUUAGUCGGAGUGGAGGGGGGAAGGAGGAAAUUUGUAUGGGCCUAAAUUUAGAGAAAGGGAAAACGGUGGAGAGGAGUGGAGAGGAGAGGAAAGGAGAGAGAUUUAACUGUCCGUGGGAAAAUGGAGGAUGGAGAAAGGAAGCGACACCCAAGUGUCUUCCUUCGAACGUGGUGUGAUCGGGAAGAGAUCGGCGAGGCACAUCUGGCGCGCCACAUCCUGGCGGAAAGCACGAGUCAUCGGCGUGGCCUACAAUCGAAAAUGAACCGAGACACUCGCCGUGUCGUGGGAGAUUAAAGGAAAGGGGAGUAUCUUCCGUUCCGAUGAAGACGUUUCCACGCGAUACUUUGUUGUUGCGUUGGGAAGUCGAUCAGUGGGUCUGCCCCAUUGGCUCGCAACAUCAAAGACUUAGCCCUAAAGGGAAGAUUUAGCAUUGUCUAACCGGGAGAAAGAUGAAAAGGAAAUUUAAAAUUGGAGUUGGAGAGAAGGA
RNAcentral lists this long non-coding RNA (1633 nucleotides) under Apis mellifera (honey bee). RNAcentral describes it as "uncharacterized LOC100577646, transcript variant X2". Lineage: Eukaryota; Metazoa; Arthropoda; Insecta; Hymenoptera; Apidae. The record is from RNAcentral.